Molecule: ribosomal RNA, 466 nt
Filed under: uncultured bacterium
Lineage: Bacteria
Description: bacterial SSU rRNA
Rfam family: Bacterial small subunit ribosomal RNA
Source: RNAcentral
ACGUGCCAGCAGCCGCGGUAAUACGUAUGUCGCAAGCGUUAUCCGGAAUUAUUGGGCAUAAAGGGCAUCUAGGCGGCCAGAUAAGUCUGGGGUGAAAACUUGCGGCUCAACCGCAAGCCUGCCCUGGAAACUAUGUGGCUAGAGUACUGGAGAGGUGGACGGAACUGCACGAGUAGAGGUGAAAUUCYGUAGAUAUGUGCAGGAAUGCCGAUGAUGAAGAUAGUUCACUGGACGGUAACUGACGCUGAAGUGCGAAAGCUAGGGGAGCAAACAGGAUUAGAUACCCUGGUAGUCCUAGCUGUAAACGAUGAUUACUGGGUGUGGGCAUGAAGAGUGUCCGUGCCGAAGCUAAUGCGAUAAGUAAUCCGCCUGGGGAGUACGGCCGCAAGGCUGAAACUCAAAGGAAUUGACGGGGACCCGCACAAGCGGUGGAGCAUGUGGUUUAAUUCGACGCAACGCGAGGAAC